RNAcentral lists this ribosomal RNA (648 nucleotides) under Escherichia coli. RNAcentral's name for it is "partial 23S ribosomal RNA". It matches the Rfam family "Bacterial large subunit ribosomal RNA", at positions 2259 to 2901 of the family's 2925-position model. The record is from RNAcentral. Lineage: Bacteria; Pseudomonadati; Pseudomonadota; Gammaproteobacteria; Enterobacterales; Enterobacteriaceae.
UGGUGGGUAGUUUGACUGGGGCGGUCUCCUCCUAAAGAGUAACGGAGGAGCACGAAGGUUGGCUAAUCCUGGUCGGACAUCAGGAGGUUAGUGCAAUGGCAUAAGCCAGCUUGACUGCGAGCGUGACGGCGCGAGCAGGUGCGAAAGCAGGUCAUAGUGAUCCGGUGGUUCUGAAUGGAAGGGCCAUCGCUCAACGGAUAAAAGGUACUCCGGGGAUAACAGGCUGAUACCGCCCAAGAGUUCAUAUCGACGGCGGUGUUUGGCACCUCGAUGUCGGCUCAUCACAUCCUGGGGCUGAAGUAGGUCCCAAGGGUAUGGCUGUUCGCCAUUUAAAGUGGUACGCGAGCUGGGUUUAGAACGUCGUGAGACAGUUCGGUCCCUAUCUGCCGUGGGCGCUGGAGAACUGAGGGGGGCUGCUCCUAGUACGAGAGGACCGGAGUGGACGCAUCACUGGUGUUCGGGUUGUCAUGCCAAUGGCACUGCCCGGUAGCUAAAUGCGGAAGAGAUAAGUGCUGAAAGCAUCUAAGCACGAAACUUGCCCCGAGAUGAGUUCUCCCUGAGACUUUAAGUCUCCUGAAGGAACGUUGAAGACGACGACGUUGAUAGGCCGGGUGUGUAAGCGCAGCGAUGCGUUGAGCUAACCGGUAC